GCGCCAGACUCCUACGGGAGGCAGCAGUGGGGAUUAUUGGGCAAUGGGCGCAAGCCUGACCCAGCAACGCCGCGUGAAGGAAGAAGGCUUUCGGGUUGUAAACUUCUUUUAAGAGGGAAGAGCAGAAGACGGUACCUCUUGAAUAAGCUCCGGCUAACUACGUGCCAGCAGCCGCGGUAAUACGUAGGGAGCGAGCGUUGUCCGGAUUUACUGGGUGUAAAGGGCGUGCAGCCGGGAGUACAAGUCAGAUGUGAAAUCCCGCGGCUCAACCGCGGAACUGCAUUUGAAACUGUAUUUCUUGAGUACUGGAGAGGCAGGCGGAAUUCCUAGUGUAGCGGUGAAAUGCGUAGAUAUUAGGAGGAACACCAGUGGCGAAGGCGGUCUGCUGGACAGCAACUGACGGUGAGGCGCGAAAGCGUGGGGAGCAAACA
This 431-nucleotide ribosomal RNA is filed under the name uncultured bacterium. Its description in RNAcentral is "bacterial SSU rRNA". It matches the Rfam family "Bacterial small subunit ribosomal RNA", at positions 328 to 774 of the family's 1533-position model. The record is from RNAcentral.